This 440-nucleotide ribosomal RNA is filed under the name uncultured bacterium. RNAcentral describes it as "partial 16S ribosomal RNA". It matches the Rfam family "Bacterial small subunit ribosomal RNA", at positions 338 to 795 of the family's 1533-position model. The record is from RNAcentral.
CCUACGGGAGGCAGCAGUGGGGGAUAUUGCACAAUGGGGGGAACCCUGAUGCAGCGACGCCGCGUGGGUGAAGAAGCGCCUCGGCGCGUAAAGCCCUGUCAGCAGGGAAGAAAAUGACGGUACCCUAACAAGAAGCCCCCGCCAACUGCGUUCCAGCAGCCGCGGUAAUACGUAGGGGGCAAGCGUUAUCCGGAUUUACUGGGUGGAAAGGGGGCGCAGACGGCGGUGCAAGCCAGGAGUGAAAGCCCGGGGCCCAACCCCGGGACUGCUCUUGGAACUGCGUGGCUGGAGUGCAGGAGGGGCAGGCGGAAUUCCUGGUGUAGCGGUGAAAUGCGUAGAUAUCAGGAGGAACACCGGUGGCGAAGGCGGCCUGCUGGACUGCAACUGACGUUGAGGCCCGAAAGCGUGGGGAGCAAACAGGAUUAGAUACCCCUGUAGUC